UCCCCUGUUUAUUAAAAACCUUUUUUUUUGUUAGUUUUUGAAGUAUGGCCUGCCCCCUGACUUUAGUGUUGAAGGGCCGGGGUAUUUUGGCCGUUCAAAGGUAGCAUAGUCCUUAGUUUUUUAAAUGUGAUUUGGUAUGAAAGGCUUGGCGAGGCCUGGGCUGUUUUAAUUUUUAAAUGUUUAAUGAAUUUGGUUUUUGAAUUAAAAUUUUUAGAAGUUUUUAUGGGACGAGAAGGCCCUAUAGAAUUUAACCUUUGUUAUGGUUCCCUUUCUGUUUGUGAGGGUUCAUUGGGCCGUUUAAUAUGUUUUGUUGGGGUGAUGGGAGGGAUUAAUUUAACCCCUCCUUUUUAUUAUUAUAUUUAUUUAUAUUACUGAUCC
Molecule: ribosomal RNA, 378 nt
Filed under: Reticulitermes minutus
Lineage: Eukaryota; Metazoa; Arthropoda; Insecta; Blattodea; Rhinotermitidae
Description: partial 16S ribosomal RNA
Source: RNAcentral